UUUUAGCCCUGAUGGUAGCGGCAUCCUUUUUUCUUGCUUCUUUAGCAAGGAAAAGAUAUAGCGGACAGCAGGAUUAGCU
Molecule: small RNA, 79 nt
Filed under: Flavobacterium swingsii
Lineage: Bacteria; Pseudomonadati; Bacteroidota; Flavobacteriia; Flavobacteriales; Flavobacteriaceae
Description: Flavo-1 RNA
Rfam family: Flavo-1 RNA
Source: RNAcentral